Molecule: ribosomal RNA, 869 nt
Filed under: human gut metagenome
Description: bacterial LSU rRNA
Rfam family: Bacterial large subunit ribosomal RNA
Source: RNAcentral
CCUAAGGUAGCGAAAUUCCUUGUCGGGUAAGUUCCGACCUGCACGAAUGGCGUAAUGAUGGCCAGGCUGUCUCCACCCGAGACUCAGUGAAAUUGAACUCGCUGUGAAGAUGCAGUGUACCCGCGGCAAGACGGAAAGACCCCGUGAACCUUUACUAUAGCUUGACACUGAACACUGGUCCUUGAUGUGUAGGAUAGGUGGGAGGCUUUGAAGCGUGGACGCCAGUCUGCGUGGAGCCAACCUUGAAAUACCACCCUUUAAUGGCUGGUGUUCUAACGUAGACCCGUAAUCCGGGUUGCGGACAGUGUCUGGUGGGUAGUUUGACUGGGGCGGUCUCCUCCCAAAGAGUAACGGAGGAGCACGAAGGUUGGCUAAUCCUGGUCGGACAUCAGGAGGUUAGUGCAAUGGCAUAAGCCAGCUUGACUGCGAGCGUGACGGCGCGAGCAGGUGCGAAAGCAGGUCAUAGUGAUCCGGUGGUUCUGAAUGGAAGGGCCAUCGCUCAACGGAUAAAAGGUACUCCGGGGAUAACAGGCUGAUACCGCCCAAGAGUUCAUAUCGACGGCGGUGUUUGGCACCUCGAUGUCGGCUCAUCACAUCCUGGGGCUGAAGUAGGUCCCAAGGGUAUGGCUGUUCGCCAUUUAAAGUGGUACGCGAGCUGGGUUUAGAACGUCGUGAGACAGUUCGGUCCCUAUCUGCCGUGGGCGCUGGAGAAUUGAGGGGGGCUGCUCCUAGUACGAGAGGACCGGAGUGGACGCAUCACUGGUGUUCGGGUUGUCAUGCCAAUGGCACUGCCCGGUAGCUAAAUGCGGAAGAGAUAAGUGCUGAAAGCAUCUAAGCACGAAACUUGCCCCGAGAUGAGUUCUCCCUGA